AUGAGAUUGGUGCAUGAUCUCUUACUGAAUGUGCAGGGAGAGAGAGAAUACUUGUUCCACUUAGAAUGCCAGUUAUACCUGAGAGGAGAGAGUGAACAGGGAGCGGGGCUUUUGUCUGUUUGUUACCCAGAACUCUUUGUCUGGGUCAGUCAAGAACCAUUUCCAAACAAGAACAUGGAGGGAAGGCUUCGUAAGGGAAGACUUCCUGUCCCAAAGGAAGUGAACCGCAAGAAGAACGAUGAGACAAACGCUGCCUCCCUGACUCCACUGGGCAGCAGUGAACUCCGCUCCCCAAGAAUCAGUUACCUCCACUUUUUUUAAUCGUAACACCUCCAUUUGUAUUACAUAUGGUGUAUGGGUAUUGAUGAGGUCAUGGUAUCAUAUAUGGGAUUUUUUUCUGUGUAAAUCAUCAAGUAUAAGAAGAAACUAUGGGACUCUGAGCCUUGCUUUAGAGAAUUUACAGUGGACAAGUAGGUAUCAUCAAACCAGUUUUUAAUCAUUCUGACUCAAGUGAAAACGCUCAGAAUUUCACACUGUGAAUCCACGUUUACAACCCUUACAGGUGGGCCUUCAGGCCUGGUUCGCUACAACAAUGUCUUCCACAACUCAAACUCCCACCGCGCUCACACAACCGGUCCACUCCUGCCUUUUCACUCACACAGCUCCCGACUGCUUCUUGCAGAGGCUGAGAGUCCCCCCCUUUUUUUUUUCAUUUAGAUGUAACAAACCUAGUAGUUUAUGUUCAUCAAUUGUCUGUAUAUCUCUAUAUUUUAUCCAUGUACUCUUUUGAUGUAUAGAAGUAGUUUGAAACUCAUUGUUUCCUUGUGGUAAGUGACCGAGAUGCUGCCACAGGACCUGAGACACUGAUGAAUGGUGCUAUUUUGGACUUUCAACAUGCUCCUUGGCGAGGUAGCUCUGAUGGAGUUAUUUUUUAUUUCCAUGUUCUAAGAAGGUGUUGGUAC
RNA transcript from Piliocolobus tephrosceles (Ugandan red Colobus), 962 nucleotides. It is a transcript of the gene named neuronal regeneration-related protein pseudogene, with no coding region annotated. The transcript has 2 exons. The record is from RefSeq and is a predicted model, not a curated record. Lineage: Eukaryota; Metazoa; Chordata; Mammalia; Primates; Cercopithecidae.